GACGAACCGUGCGAACGUUGUUCGGAAUCACUGGGCUUAAAGAGCGCGUAGGCGGGUCUUCAAGUUUGGGGUGAAAUCUUCCGGCUCAACCGGAGAACUGCCUCGAAUACUGAAGGUCUCGAGGGGGAUAGGGGCAUGCGGAACUACGGGUGGAGCGGUGAAAUGCGUUGAUAUCCGUAGGAACUCCGGUGGCGAAGGCGGCGUGCUGGAUCCCUUCUGACGCUGAGGCGCGAAAGCCAGGGGAGCAAACGGG
This 253-nucleotide ribosomal RNA is filed under the name uncultured bacterium. RNAcentral describes it as "partial 16S ribosomal RNA". It matches the Rfam family "Bacterial small subunit ribosomal RNA", at positions 524 to 776 of the family's 1533-position model. The record is from RNAcentral.